AGUGAACGCUGGCGGCAGGCCUAACACAUGCAAGUCGAACGGCAGCACAGUAAGAGCUUGCUCUUACGGGUGGCGAGUGGCGGACGGGUGAGGAAUACAUCGGAAUCUACUUUUUCGUGGGGGAUAACGUAGGGAAACUUACGCUAAUACCGCAUACGACCUACGGGGGAAAGCAGGGGAUCUUCGGACCUUGUGCGAUUGAAUGAGCCGAUGUCGGAUUAGCUAGUUGGCGGGGUAAAGGCCCACCAAGGCGACGAUCCGUAGCUGGUCUGAGAGGAUGAUCAGCCACACGGGAACUGAGACACGGUCCAGACUCCUACGGGAGGCAGCAGUGGGGAAUAUUGGACAAUGGGCGCAAGCCUGAUCCAGCCAUACCGCGUGGGUGAAGAAGGCCUUCGGGUUGUAAAGCCCUUUUGUUGGGAAAGAAAAGCAGCAGGUUAAUACCCCGCUGUUCUGACGGUACCCAAAGAAUAAGCACCGGCUAACUUCGUG
This 492-nucleotide ribosomal RNA is filed under the name uncultured bacterium. RNAcentral describes it as "partial 16S ribosomal RNA". It matches the Rfam family "Bacterial small subunit ribosomal RNA", at positions 29 to 507 of the family's 1533-position model. The record is from RNAcentral.